UACGUAGGGUGCAGGCGUUAAUCGGGAUUACUUGGCGUAAAGCGUGCGCAGGCGGUUUGCUAAGACAGGUGUGAAAUCCCCGGGCUUAACCUGGGAACUGCGCUUGUAACUGGCAAGCUGGAGUGUGGCAGAGGGGGGUGGAAUUCCACGUGUAGCAGUGAAAUGCGUAGAGAUGUGGAGGAACACCGAUGGCGAAGGCAGCCCCCUGGGCUAACACUGACGCUCAUGCACGAAAGCGUGGGGAGCAAACAGG
RNAcentral lists this ribosomal RNA (253 nucleotides) under uncultured bacterium. RNAcentral's name for it is "partial 16S ribosomal RNA". It matches the Rfam family "Bacterial small subunit ribosomal RNA", at positions 524 to 776 of the family's 1533-position model. The record is from RNAcentral.